RNAcentral lists this ribosomal RNA (24 nucleotides) under uncultured actinomycete. Its description in RNAcentral is "partial 16S ribosomal RNA". Lineage: Bacteria; Bacillati; Actinomycetota; Actinomycetes; Actinomycetales. The record is from RNAcentral.
UGCGGCUGGAUCCCCUCCUUUCUG